AUUGAACGCUGGCGGCAGGCUUAACACAUGCAAGUCGAGCGAGCGGCGGCCGGGUGAGUAAUGUCUGGGAAACUGCCUGAUGGAGGGGGAUAACUACUGGAAACGGUAGCUAAUACCGCAUACCAUCAGAUGUGCCCAGAUGGGAUUAGCUAGAAGGUGGGGUAAGGGCUAACCUAGGCGAAGAUCCCUAGCUGGUCUGAGAGGAUGACCAGCCACCCUGGAACUGCUACACGGUCCAGACUCCUACGGGAGGCAGCAGGGGGGAAGAUUGCACAAGUGGCGCAAGCCUGAUGCAGCCAUGCCGCGUGUGUGAAGAAGGCCUUCGGGGUGGAAAGCACUUUCAGCGAGGAGGCGUUACUCGCAGAAGAAGCACCGGCUAACUCCGUGCCAGCAGCCGCGGUAAUAC
This 406-nucleotide ribosomal RNA is filed under the name uncultured bacterium. RNAcentral's name for it is "partial 16S ribosomal RNA". It matches the Rfam family "Bacterial small subunit ribosomal RNA", at positions 29 to 526 of the family's 1533-position model. The record is from RNAcentral.